GCAGUAGCCGCGGUAAUACGAAGGGGGCUAGCGUUGUUCGGAUUUACUGGGCGUAAAGGGUGCGUAGGCGGACUGAUAAGUCAGGGGUGAAAUCCCAAGGCUCAACCUUGGAACUGCCUUUGAUACUGUUAGUCUUGAGUUCGAGAGAGGUGAGUGGAACUGCGAGUGUAGAGGUGAAAUUCGUAGAUAUUCGCAAGAACACCAGUGGCGAAGGCGGCUCACUGGCUCGAAACUGACGCUGAGGCACGAAAGCGUGGGGAGCAAACAGGAUUAGAUACCCCGGUAGUCCCUGUCUCUUAUAA
RNAcentral lists this ribosomal RNA (302 nucleotides) under uncultured bacterium. RNAcentral describes it as "partial 16S ribosomal RNA". It matches the Rfam family "Bacterial small subunit ribosomal RNA", at positions 508 to 809 of the family's 1533-position model. The record is from RNAcentral.